CCUACGGGUGGCAGCAGUGGGGGAUAGUGCACAAUGGGGGAAACCCUGAUGCAGCGACGCCGCGUGUAGGAAGACGGUCCUCUGGAUUGUACACUACUGUCCCCAGGGACGAAGAUGACGGUACCUGGGGAGGAAGCUACGGCUAACUACGUGCCAGCAGACGCGGUAAUACGUAGGGAGCGAGCGUUGUCCGGAAUUACGGGGUGUAAAGGGAGCGUAGGCGGGGAUGCAAGUUGGGUGUUAAAUCUACCGGCUCAACUGGUAGGCGCACUCAAAACUGCAGCUCUUGAGUGCAGUAGAGGCAGGCGGAAUUCCUAGUGUAGCGGUGAAAUGCGUAGAUAUUAGGAGGAACACCAGUGGCGAAGGCGGCCUGCUGGGCUUUUACUGACGCUGAGGCUCGAAAGUGUGGGGAGCAAACAGGAUUAGAUACCCGGGUAGUC
This 440-nucleotide ribosomal RNA is filed under the name uncultured bacterium. Its description in RNAcentral is "partial 16S ribosomal RNA". It matches the Rfam family "Bacterial small subunit ribosomal RNA", at positions 338 to 795 of the family's 1533-position model. The record is from RNAcentral.